UUCUGGCACCGUCGCUCUGCUUUUC
This 25-nucleotide microRNA is filed under the name Equus caballus (horse). RNAcentral's name for it is "eca-miR-9138". Lineage: Eukaryota; Metazoa; Chordata; Mammalia; Perissodactyla; Equidae. The record is from miRBase by way of RNAcentral.